Molecule: ribosomal RNA, 372 nt
Filed under: uncultured organism
Description: bacterial SSU rRNA
Rfam family: Bacterial small subunit ribosomal RNA
Source: RNAcentral
CGAAGGGGGCUAGCGUUGUUCGGAAUCACUGGGCGUAAAGCGCACGUAGGCGGAUGUGCCAGUCAGGGGUGAAAUCCCGGAGCUCAACUUCGGAACUGCCUCUGAUACAGCACGUCUUGAGUCCGAUAGAGGUGGGUGGAAUUCCUAGUGUAGAGGUGAAAUUCGUAGAUAUUAGGAAGAACACCGGUGGCGAAGGCGGCCCACUGGAUCGGUACUGACGCUGAGGUGCGAAAGCGUGGGGAGCAAACAGGAUUAGAUAAACCCUGGUAGUCCACGCCUUAAACGAUGGAUGCUAGCCGUCAGCAAGCAUGCUUGUUGGUGGCGCAGCUAACGCAUUAAGCAUCCCGCCUGGGGAGUACGGCCGCAAGGUUA